RNAcentral lists this transfer RNA (74 nucleotides) under Lederbergia lenta. Its description in RNAcentral is "Bacillus lentus tRNA-Gln(ttg)". It matches the Rfam family "tRNA". Rfam says of the family: Transfer RNA (tRNA) molecules are approximately 80 nucleotides in length. Their secondary structure includes four short double-helical elements and three loops (D, anti-codon, and T loops). RNAcentral also lists the same sequence under 2 other names. The record is from RNAcentral. Lineage: Bacteria; Bacillati; Bacillota; Bacilli; Caryophanales; Bacillaceae.
UUGGGCUAUAGCCAAGCGGUAAGGCAACGGACUUUGACUCCGUCAUUCGUUGGUUCGAAUCCAGCUAGCCCAGU